GACGAACGCUGGCGGCGUGCUUAACACAUGCAAGUCGAACGGCAAGGCCCUGCUUUCGUGGGGUGCUCGAGUGGCGAACGGGUGAGUAACACGUGAGUAACCUGCCCUAGACUUUGGGAUAACUUCAGGAAACUGGGGCUAAUCCCGGAUAGGAGCUCCUGCUGCAUGGAGGGGGUUGGAAAGUUUCUGCGGUUGGGGAUGGACUCGCGGCUUAUCAGCUUGUUGGUGGGGUAGUGGAUUACCAAGGCUUUGACGGGUAGCCGGCCUGAGAGGGUGACCGGCCACAUUGGGACUAAGGUACGGCCCAGACUCCUACAGGAGGCAGCAGGGGGGAAUAUUGCACAAUGGGCGGGAGCCUGAUGCAGCAACGCCGCGUGCGGGAUGACGGCCUUCGGGUUGUAAACCGCUUUCGCCUGUGACGAAGCGUGAGUGACGGUAAUGGGUAAAGAAGCACCGGCUAACUACGUG
This 468-nucleotide ribosomal RNA is filed under the name uncultured bacterium. RNAcentral describes it as "partial 16S ribosomal RNA". It matches the Rfam family "Bacterial small subunit ribosomal RNA", at positions 28 to 507 of the family's 1533-position model. The record is from RNAcentral.